AUUGAACGCUGGCGGUAUGCUUAACACAUGCAAGUCGGACGGAAACGACAGGGAGCUUGCUCCUUGGGCGUCGAGUGGCGGAUGGGUGAGUAAUAUAUAGGAAUCUACCUCAUAGUUUGGGAUAACUACUCGAAAGAGUGGCUAAUACCGGAUGUGGACUACGGUUUAAAGCGGGGGAUCUUCGGACCUUGCGCUAUGAGAUGAGCCUAUACAAGAUUAGCUAGUUGGUGAGGUAAAUGCUCACCAAGGCGACGAUCUUUAGCUGGUUUGAGAGGAUGAUCAGCCACACUGGGACUGAGACACGGCCCAGACUCCUACGGGAGCAGCAGUGAGGAAUAUUGGACAAUGGGUGAGAGCCUGAUCCAGCCAUCCCGCGUGAAGGAAGACGGUCCUAUGGAUUGUAAACUUNUUUUGUAUAGGAAUAAACCUACUUACGUGUAAGUAGCUGAAGGUACUAUACGAAUAAGCAUCGGCUAAC
This 478-nucleotide ribosomal RNA is filed under the name uncultured Gammaproteobacteria bacterium. RNAcentral's name for it is "bacterial SSU rRNA". It matches the Rfam family "Bacterial small subunit ribosomal RNA", at positions 30 to 501 of the family's 1533-position model. The record is from RNAcentral. Lineage: Bacteria; Pseudomonadati; Pseudomonadota; Gammaproteobacteria.